UACGGGGGGGGCAAGCGUUGUUCGGAAUUACUGGGCGUAAAGCGCGCGUAGGCGGACCUGCAAGUCGGGGGUGAAAGCCCGAGGCUCAACCUCGGAACUGCCUUCGAUACUGCGGGUCUCGAGUCCGGGAGAGGUGAGUGGAAUUCCUAGUGUAGAGGUGAAAUUCGUAGAUAUUAGGAAGAACACCAGUGGCGAAGGCGGCUCACUGGCCCGGUGCUGACGCUGAGGCGCGAAAGCGUGGGGAGCAAACAGG
RNAcentral lists this ribosomal RNA (253 nucleotides) under uncultured bacterium. RNAcentral describes it as "partial 16S ribosomal RNA". It matches the Rfam family "Bacterial small subunit ribosomal RNA", at positions 524 to 776 of the family's 1533-position model. The record is from RNAcentral.